Molecule: ribosomal RNA, 253 nt
Filed under: uncultured bacterium
Lineage: Bacteria
Description: partial 16S ribosomal RNA
Rfam family: Bacterial small subunit ribosomal RNA
Source: RNAcentral
UACAGAGGCCUCGAGCGUUAGGCGGAAUCACUGGGCUUAAAGCGCGUGUAGGCGGAUCGUUAAGUACCUUGUGAAAUCCCACGGCUCAACCGUGGAACUGCUGGGUAUACUGGCGGUCUUGGGCCACUCAGGGGUUGCCGGAACAAACGGUGGAGCGGUGAAAUGCGUAGAUAUCGUCUGGAACGCCGAAGGUGAAAACAGCUCGCUGGGGCUGCGCUGACGCUGAGACACGAAAGCCAGGGGAGCGAACGGG